GCCUGUCUGUGCUGGUUGGUUUCAAUUCAUUGCCAUCUAAUCUCCAAGCUUUGGUUACAAAAUAGGAAGCAUGUGUUAGCAGAAGCUCAGGGGCCCUGUACCAGAAUGUCACCACGACGGGGUCAAGGUCUGCCAGGGGUUUGAGAGGAGAGUUGAAGAGUCUGGCGAAGCCCAUGUCAGCUAAAACGAAGCAAGAUUGCAGCUGCCCUAGGGGACAUUUUACUGGACUGAGUAAAUAAAAACUCUGACUCAGCCAUUUCAUGGGAUCAAGAUGAGAUUAUAUCUAUGUAGAUUCUGGUUUUCUGCUCCGCAUAACACCCAGUGUGUCAAUUAACGACUGCAGCAAUUACCAUCAAAAGGUCACGGUUUAUGGACUUCCGUCAUUGUAAAAAAUGAUUUGUUCUUAAGUGACUUGCCUUGUUAAAUAAAGGUUACACACACAAUCUGCUAGAUCCAUAAAACAUAAAAGUAUUGUGCAAUCAAUAUUUUGUGAAAGUGCUGUACAUCCCAAUGUAUACGUUUCCUGUUUCAAAUCUACUUAUCAAACCUGUUUGUCUGUCAAAAUCAGAAACAGCCAAAGAUAUGUCCAAAGAAAAGACAUUAAAAGAAAAGACAUUAAAAAUAAUGUGGCCUUGACCAUUGCACAGAACCCUCAUUGUGAAUGUGUGGCAAGAAUAUAAGAACAGCGCAGUUGUCCGUGGCCUGUUCUGGGAAAAAUGGGUCAUGUUUUUCAACAGCUUCACAGGGAAAGCUCUGGCUGGAUGUGGGCCAAAUGUUAGCACAGCCUCUGUUGUCAGGACAGC
Salvelinus namaycush (lake trout) is the source of this 803-nucleotide long non-coding RNA. RefSeq lists it as uncharacterized. The record is from RefSeq and is a predicted model, not a curated record. The transcript has 3 exons. NCBI's taxonomy places the organism in Eukaryota, Metazoa, Chordata, Actinopteri, Salmoniformes, Salmonidae.